This 219-nucleotide non-coding RNA is filed under the name Priestia megaterium. RNAcentral describes it as "Bacillus megaterium T-box sequence". It matches the Rfam family "T-box leader". From Rfam's summary of the family: Uncharged tRNA acts as the effector for transcription antitermination of genes in the T-box leader family. T-boxes are found upstream of many aminoacyl-tRNA synthetase genes and some amino acid biosynthetic genes usually in Gram-positive bacteria. The record is from RNAcentral. Lineage: Bacteria; Bacillati; Bacillota; Bacilli; Caryophanales; Bacillaceae.
GUAAAAACUAUGAUAAGGAAUAGUAGUGAACGAAGCGAGCUAAGAGAGUUGACGGUUGGUGCGAGUCAGCAAACGAGCGUUCAUGAACUCACCUUGGAGUUGUAAAUGUGAAGUAAAGUAACAUUUGCCGUCUAUCCGCGUUAAGGAAAAUGAGUGAGUACAUAAUUGUGCUAAUUUGGGUGGUACCGCGGGAAGUUUAUUCAACCUCUCGUCCCUUUG